Long non-coding RNA from Hyaena hyaena (striped hyena), 794 nucleotides. RefSeq lists it as uncharacterized. The record is from RefSeq and is a predicted model, not a curated record. The transcript has 3 exons. NCBI's taxonomy places the organism in Eukaryota, Metazoa, Chordata, Mammalia, Carnivora, Hyaenidae.
UGGGAAAGGGGGCUCUGACUGCUUCCUGGUGUUGCUCCUGUGCCUGCUGCUCCACUUUUCUCAUUGUGGGCCUGUCCUGAGAGCCCUGAGCUUCCGUUUGGUUUAUAGCCUGGCAAUGUGGACCGUGAUGCGGGACAACUCUCAACUGAAGGUCCUGAACUAAGCACUUUAUUUGCAGCACUUUGCCCUCACAAAGACCAUAUGGGAUAGAUAUACUAAAUGCUAAAUGGCAUGGCGUUAAGAAUUCAGCCUCUGGGCUUAAGCCGGAUCCCCUCGCUUACCAGUGAUGUUGGAUUUAAACAAUCUGGAUUUAACUGAUAUUUACUGAGCAUCUGCUAAGAAGCAUGCCUAUACUAGUAGCUUCUCCGUGUAUUUAAUCAUCAUAAAGUCACAACUGCCCCUGAAAGGAGACGAUGUUCUCUCCAUUUCAUCAAUGAGGAAAAUGAAAGCCUCAAGCUGGAAGUUUCUCAGCAGAGGCCAUGACAGAAGCGGGACCAGGACCCAGGUCUGGCUGACUUACGAAGACCACACACUCUCCACGUUCCUACGCAGUCUCCAUCCUGACCUCUGCUUCUCCUCAUCAGCAUCUGGAAGACAGAUGGCUGGGUUGGAAGUAUGUGGCCCAGAAUCUACCGCAGGCCCUCGCUGGGCAUCAGGCCCUGGCUCUGACCUCAUACACACCUCACAGACUCCACCACCUGAAGUGAACGUUACGGAGGUCACACUACACUGACCCAGCGGAACCACAUUUCUCUUGUUAUAAAGGAUUUCUCUUAAACAUUCUUUUAAAACUA